Molecule: ribosomal RNA, 165 nt
Filed under: uncultured bacterium
Lineage: Bacteria
Description: partial 16S rRNA
Rfam family: Bacterial small subunit ribosomal RNA
Source: RNAcentral
UAGGGAAUCUUCCACAAUGGGCGCAAGCCUGAUGGAGCAACACCGCGUGAGUGAAGAAGGGUUUCGGCUCGUAAAGCUCUGUUUGUUAAAGAAGAACACGUAUGAGAGUAACUGUUCAUACGUUGACGGUAUUUAACCAGAAAGUCACGGCUAACUACGUGCCAG